GGGUUGUGAGGUUAAGCGACUAAGCGUACACGGUGGAUGCCCUGGCAGUCAGAGGCGAUGAAGGGCGUACUAAUCUGCGAUAAGCGCCGGUAAGGUGAUAUGAACCGUUAUAACCGGCGAUACCCGAAUGGGGAAACCCAGUGUGAUUCGUCACACUAUCAUUAACUGAAUCCAUAGGUUAAUGAGGCGAACCGGGGGAACUGAAACAUCUAAGUACCCCGAGGAAAAGAAAUCAACCGAGAUUCCCCCAGUAGCGGCGAGCGAACGGGGAGGAGCCCAGAGCCUGAAUCAGCAUGUGUGUUAGUGGAAGCGUCUGGAAAGGCGCGCGAUACAGGGUGACAGCCCCGUACACAAAAGCGCAUGUGCUGUGAGCUCGAUGAGUAGGGCGGGACACGUGGUAUCCUGUCUGAAUAUGGGGGGACCAUCCUCCAAGGCUAAAUACUCCUGACUGACCGAUAGUGAACCAGUACCGUGAGGGAAAGGCGAAAAGAACCCCGGCGAGGGGAGUGAAAAAGAACCUGAAACCGUGUACGUACAAGCAGUGGGAGCACNNNNNNNNNNNNNNNACUGCGUACCUUUUGUAUAAUGGGUCAGCGACUUAUAUUCUGUAGCAAGGUUAACCGAAUAGGGGAGCCGGAGGGAAACCGAGUCUUAAUUGGGCGUUAAGUUGCAGGGUAUAGACCCGAAACCCGGUGAUCUAGCCAUGGGCAGGUUGAAGGUUGGGUAACACUAACUGGAGGACCGAACCGACUAAUGUUGAAAAAUUAGCGGAUGACCUGUGGCUGGGGGUGAAAGGCCAAUCAAACCGGGAGAUAGCUGGUUCUCCCCGAAAGCUAUUUAGGUAGCGCCUCGUGAAUUCAUCUCCGGGGGUAGAGCACUGUUUCGGCUAGGGGGCCAUCCCGGCUUACCAACCCGAUGCAAACUGCGAAUACCGGAGAAUGUUAUCACGGGAGACACACGGCGGGUGCUAACGUCCGUCGUGAAGAGGGAAACAACCCAGACCGCCAGCUAAGGUCCCAAAGUCAUGGUUAAGUGGGAAACGAUGUGGGAAGGCCCAGACAGCCAGGAUGUUGGCUUAGAAGCAGCCAUCAUUUAAAGAAAGCGUAAUAGCUCACUGGUCGAGUCGGCCUGCGCGGAAGAUGUAACGGGGCUAAACCAUGCACCGAAGCUGCGGCAGCGACACUGUGUGUUGUUGGGUAGGGGAGCGUUCUGUAAGCCUGCGAAGGUGGCCUGUGAGGGUUGCUGGAGGUAUCAGAAGUGCGAAUGCUGACAUAAGUAACGAUAAAGCGGGUGAAAAGCCCGCUCGCCGGAAGACCAAGGGUUCCUGUCCAACGUUAAUCGGGGCAGGGUGAGUCGACCCCUAAGGCGAGGCCGAAAGGCGUAGUCGAUGGGAAACGGGUUAAUAUUCCCGUACUUGGUGUUACUGCGAAGGGGGGACGGAGAAGGCUAUGUUGGCCGGGCGACGGUUGUCCCGGUUUAAGCGUGUAGGUGUGUGUUCCAGGUAAAUCCGGUUCACUUUAACACUGAGGCGUGACGACGAGGCACUACGGUGCUGAAGCAACAAAUGCCCUGCUUCCAGGAAAAGCCUCUAAGCAUCAGGUAACAUCAAAUCGUACCCCAAACCGACACAGGUGGUCAGGUAGAGAAUACCAAGGCGCUUGAGAGAACUCGGGUGAAGGAACUAGGCAAAAUGGUGCCGUAACUUCGGGAGAAGGCACGCUGACACGUAGGUGAAGUGAUUUACUCAUGGAGCUGAAGUCAGUCGAAGAUACCAGCUGGCUGCAACUGUUUAUUAAAAACACAGCACUGUGCAAACACGAAAGUGGACGUAUACGGUGUGACGCCUGCCCGGUGCCGGAAGGUUAAUUGAUGGGGUCAGCGCAAGCGAAGCUCCUGAUCGAAGCCCCGGUAAACGGCGGCCGUAACUAUAACGGUCCUAAGGUAGCGAAAUUCCUUGUCGGGUAAGUUCCGACCUGCACGAAUGGCGUAAUGAUGGCCAGGCUGUCUCCACCCGAGACUCAGUGAAAUUGAACUCGCUGUGAAGAUGCAGUGUACCCGCGGCAAGACGGAAAGACCCCGUGAACCUUUACUAUAGCUUGACACUGAACAUUGAGCCUUGAUGUGUAGGAUAGGUGGGAGGCUUUGAAGUGUGGACGCCAGUCUGCAUGGAGCCGACCUUGAAAUACCACCCUUUAAUGUUUGAUGUUCUAACGUGGACCCGUUACCCGGGUUGCGGACAGUGUCUGGUGGGUAGUUUGACUGGGGCGGUCUCCUCCUAAAGAGUAACGGAGGAGCACGAAGGUUGGCUAAUCCUGGUCGGACAUCAGGAGGUUAGUGCAAUGGCAUAAGCCAGCUUGACUGCGAGCGUGACGGCGCGAGCAGGUGCGAAAGCAGGUCAUAGUGAUCCGGUGGUUCUGAAUGGAAGGGCCAUCGCUCAACGGAUAAAAGGUACUCCGGGGAUAACAGGCUGAUACCGCCCAAGAGUUCAUAUCGACGGCGGUGUUUGGCACCUCGAUGUCGGCUCAUCACAUCCUGGGGCUGAAGUAGGUCCCAAGGGUAUGGCUGUUCGCCAUUUAAAGUGGUACGCGAGCUGGGUUUAGAACGUCGUGAGACAGUUCGGUCCCUAUCUGCCGUGGGCGCUGGAGAACUGAGGGGGGCUGCUCCUAGUACGAGAGGACCGGAGUGGACGCAUCACUGGUGUUCGGGUUGUCAUGCCAAUGGCACUGCCCGGUAGCUAAAUGCGGAAGAGAUAAGUGCUGAAAGCAUCUAAGCACGAAACUUGCCCCGAGAUGAGUUCUCCCUGAGACUUAAAGUCUCCUGAAGGAACGUUGAAGACGACGACGUUGAUAGGCCGGGUGUGUAAGCGCAGCGAUGCGUUGAGCUAACCGGUACUAAUGAACCGUGAGGCUUAACCUUACAACGCCGAAG
RNAcentral lists this ribosomal RNA (2928 nucleotides) under Salmonella enterica subsp. enterica serovar Enteritidis str. EC20121970. Its description in RNAcentral is "bacterial LSU rRNA". It matches the Rfam family "Bacterial large subunit ribosomal RNA". Lineage: Bacteria; Pseudomonadati; Pseudomonadota; Gammaproteobacteria; Enterobacterales; Enterobacteriaceae. The record is from RNAcentral.